UACGGAGGGUGCAAGCGUUGUCCGGAUUCAUUGGGUUUAAAGGGUGCGCAGGCGGGACAUUAAGUCAGGGGUGAAAGACGGUGCUCAACAAUCGCAGUGCCUUUGAUACUGGUGUUCUUGGGUGACCUUGAGGUAGGCGGAAUGGGUGGUGUAGCGGUGAAAUGCAUAGAUACCACCCAGAACUCCGAUUGCGAAGGCAGCCUACUGGAGGUUUACCGACGCUCAGGCACGAAAGCGUGGGGAUCAAACAGG
Molecule: ribosomal RNA, 252 nt
Filed under: uncultured bacterium
Lineage: Bacteria
Description: partial 16S ribosomal RNA
Rfam family: Bacterial small subunit ribosomal RNA
Source: RNAcentral